CGCGGCCUUCACAGCGACCAGAUACUGCAAUAUGAGUGUAAUGAACACGGACGAACUACCACUAAAAUAGACAACAAAAAAUGCAUAUGCCGUCUAAAGGAAGAGAUUAAGAUGUUGAAGGAGCGUAAUAGGAAAUUGGAAGUGGAGCUGGGCGGGCGCAUCUGUCAACUGGAGGCGGCGUGCGAGCAGGCCAGGGGUCGGGACCAUCGAGCCGCACGGGAC
Non-coding RNA from Plutella xylostella (diamondback moth), 222 nucleotides. Lineage: Eukaryota; Metazoa; Arthropoda; Insecta; Lepidoptera; Plutellidae. The record is from RefSeq and is a predicted model, not a curated record.